This 497-nucleotide ribosomal RNA is filed under the name uncultured bacterium. RNAcentral's name for it is "partial 16S ribosomal RNA". It matches the Rfam family "Bacterial small subunit ribosomal RNA", at positions 28 to 507 of the family's 1533-position model. The record is from RNAcentral.
GAUGAACGCUGGCGGCGUGCCUAAUACAUGCAAGUCGAGCGAACGGACGAGAAGCUUGCUUCUCUGAUGUUAGCGGCGGACGGGUGAGUAACACGUGGAUAACCUACCUAUAAGACUGGGAUAACUUCGGGAAACCGGAGCUAAUACCGGAUAAUAUUUUGAACCGCAUGGUUCAAAAGUGAAAGACGGUCUUGCUGUCACUUAUAGAUGGAUCCGCGCUGCAUUAGCUAGUUGGUAAGGUAACGGCUUACCAAGGCAACGAUGCAUAGCCGACCUGAGAGGGUGAACGGCCACACUGGAACUGAGACACGGUACCGACUCCUACGGGAGGCAGCAGUAGGGAAUCUUCCGCAAUGGGCGAAAGCCUGACGGAGCAACGCCGCGUGAGUGAUGAAGGUCUUCGGAUCGUAAAACUAUGUUAUUAGGGAAGAACAUAUGUGUAAGUAACUGUGAACAUCUUGACGGUACCUAAUCAGAAAGCCACGGCUAACUACGUG